Molecule: ribosomal RNA, 254 nt
Filed under: uncultured bacterium
Lineage: Bacteria
Description: partial 16S ribosomal RNA
Rfam family: Bacterial small subunit ribosomal RNA
Source: RNAcentral
UACGUAGGGUGCGAGCGUUGUCCGGAAUUAUUGGGCGUAAAGAGCUCGUAGGCGGUCUGUCGCGUCGAUCGUGAAAACUUGGGGCUUAACCCUGAGCUUGCGGUCGAUACGGGCAUGACUGGAGUUCGGCAGGGGAGACUGGAAUUCCUGGUGUAGCGGUGAAAUGCGUUGAUAUCAUCAGGAACACCGGUGGCGAAAGCGGCUUACUGGGUCUCUUCUGACGCUGAGGAACGAAAGCUAGGGUAGCGAACGGG